RNAcentral lists this ribosomal RNA (468 nucleotides) under uncultured bacterium. Its description in RNAcentral is "partial 16S ribosomal RNA". It matches the Rfam family "Bacterial small subunit ribosomal RNA", at positions 28 to 507 of the family's 1533-position model. The record is from RNAcentral.
GACGAACGCUGGCGGCGUGCUUAACACAUGCAAGUCGAACGGAAAGGCCCUGCUUUUGUGGGGUGCUCGAGUGGCGAACGGGUGAGUAACACGUGAGUAACCUGCCCUUGACUUUGGGAUAACUUCAGGAAACUGGGGCUAAUACCGGAUAAGAGCUCCUGCUGCAUGGUGGGGGUUGGAAAGUUUCGGCGGUUGGGGAUGGACUCGCGGCUUAUCAGCUUGUUGGUGGGGUAGUGGCUUACCAAGGCUUUGACGGGUAGCCGGCCUGAGAGGGUGACCGGCCACAUUGGGACUGAGAUACGGCCCAGACUCCUACGGGAGGCAGCAGUGGGGAAUAUUGCACAAUGGGCGGAAGCCUGAUGCAGCAACGCCGCGUGCGGGAUGACGGCCUUCGGGUUGUAAACCGCUUUCGCUUGUGACGAAGCGUGAGUGACGGUAAUGGGUAAAGAAGCACCGGCUAACUACGUG